CUGAUAAGUGUCACAUGUGUCUGCUGGGACUGAUCAUUCUCACAGGAAAACUUAUUCUGGAACAACAGUCUGUGCUGUGAGAUGAGAACAGAGACACACUGAGCUUUAACCACUAACCAUCGACCAACUGCUGACUGAUGAGAAAACAUCAUUAGCUUCUGAGAGACAGAGACAAACUGAACCACAGUGAUCUGAACUGAAGACAGCGACUGUAACACAUUUCAGUUUCAUUCAGCAACAUGAACGGUGAAAAUCAGGCCUUGAUGGAUGAAUACAAUAAUCUUCCUACUGAUUAUGACACUUAUGUCUCUAACAAAACUCAACAUGAUUCUUCAGAAAUCAGAAUCAUAAUCUUCCUCAUCACUAGUGUUUGUGUGAGUCUUCCAGCUCUGGUUUGGGCUUUUCGUCUUCUGCACCUUCACAGAAAGAUCAGAGGCCGAAUCUCAAUCUUCAUCCUCUUCCUCCUCCUCAAUGACCUGAUACAAAUGCUCCUUCAUCUAUAUAUACUGGCAGGUAUACUGACAAGAUUCAGAUCCUUUAUCUUUGAGCUUGUCCAGUUUUGGUUGGGAUUAUAUUGGUGUGGUUUUCAUCUGCAUCAGCUGGUGGCUCUGGAGGGGAUUUUGACUCUGAAAUAUCCGCUUUGGUCUGCUCGUAUUUUCUCACUGCCCUGUUACAUCACAGUCUCCAUCCUUGUGCUUUUUUUUUCUAUAGUUAGUGCAUUAUUUCUUUAUAUUUCUUGUAUACAUCCACUUGAAAAUACAAACAUGUCAUUAUUCAGCAGUCUCUGCACAAGUGUUGUUCCUCUGAUCGUAUUGUCUGUAUCAUCUACAAUCAGCUGUAAAGCCUCUUCCACUCCUGUCAGAAAAAACUGUUCAGUGCUCACUGUUGCUAUUCUUACAUUUGUUAUGAUGUACUUACCUUUCAUUUUGAUCCUGAGUGUGAUUUUAUUUCAUUUACAUCCAUAUGUCAACCCAUCUUGGUUCAUAAUGUCUUUAUGUUUGAUGAAUUUGAGAGUGUUUUCAGACCCUAUUCUGUGUGUUUUGGUCUGCAGAGAAAAUCUCAGAGAUGUUCAGACGCCACAAACACACACAGAACCCAACGCUGAUGAGACGUCAGUCUGAACUUGAGUUUCAUUAGUCCUCACGUCUGAAUCUGGCUUCAAAACAUACACCCAUCAGUAUAAUGAAAAAUUAUUAAUAAAAUAAAUAAUAUAUGACUUAAAGAUUAA
Carassius gibelio (silver crucian carp) is the source of this 1228-nucleotide long non-coding RNA. RefSeq lists it as uncharacterized. Lineage: Eukaryota; Metazoa; Chordata; Actinopteri; Cypriniformes; Cyprinidae. The record is from RefSeq and is a predicted model, not a curated record. The transcript is spliced from 3 exons.